CAGGUGUAAUGGAUAGUUAAUUGAAUAAUUUCAAUAGGAAAGUCCGAGCUGCUAUAAGAGAGUGUUUCAUCUAACUGAUGACCAGUGUAAACUGAGGGAAAGUGCAACAGAAAUAUUACAGCCACAUAUGUGGUGAUGGUGAAAAGGUGGUGUAAGAGACCACCGGUUUUUAUGGUAACAUAAAGAGCUUGUAAACCCAACACGGCAGCAAGAAACAAAUGGUUAGCCUCUUAUAAAAGUAUAUUCUUAUACUAAUGCUUUUGUUUCGCUAGAGAUACUUUGUGAAAAGUAUAGUAGAUUAAUGCUAUCAAUACAAAACUCGGCUUAUAUUACACCUAUUUA
Molecule: RNase P RNA, 342 nt
Filed under: Sulfurimonadaceae bacterium
Lineage: Bacteria; Pseudomonadati; Campylobacterota; Epsilonproteobacteria; Campylobacterales; Sulfurimonadaceae
Description: RNase P RNA component class A
Rfam family: Bacterial RNase P class A
About the family: Ribonuclease P (RNase P) is a ubiquitous endoribonuclease, found in archaea, bacteria and eukarya as well as chloroplasts and mitochondria. Its best characterised activity is the generation of mature 5'-ends of tRNAs by cleaving the 5'-leader elements of precursor-tRNAs.
Source: RNAcentral